CCAUAUUCUUGCAAGUCAAAUUGAAAAUUCAAGUCAUCCUUGAUCUUAUCCUUAAUGUUCAUGAUCAUUGCCAAUAAGAGCUUGCAUACGUUCUUUUCAAUAUGUAUGACAUCUAAACAGUGGUGCAAUAAGUUUAUCUUUAAAUAUGACAAGUUAAAGAAUUAAAGAAUAUACUUUUUUUUCCUCCAAUUAAAAUGUAUCAUCUGCCUUUGAUCAUACUUCCUCUUCUUACCAU
This 235-nucleotide long non-coding RNA is filed under the name Elaeis guineensis (African oil palm). Its description in RNAcentral is "long non-coding RNA (EGUI_LNC044949)". Lineage: Eukaryota; Viridiplantae; Streptophyta; Magnoliopsida; Arecales; Arecaceae. The record is from RNAcentral.